GAAAUGCGAUAAGUAAUGCGAAUUGCAGAAUCAGUGAAUCAUCGAGUUUUUGAACGCACAUUGCGCCUCCUGGCAUUCCGGGAGGCACGCCUGUUCGAGCGCCAUUACAACCUCCAAGCUCUGCUUGAUGUUGGGCUCUGUCGGCAGACGGGUCUGAAACGUGUUGGCGUCCGACGACGACCGCGAGCGUAGCAAGGAUUUUUUUUUCUUUCGCUCUGCGCAUCGUCCUCGGUUCCGCCUUGAGUACCGGACAUCAAGGUUGGCCUCGGAUCAGGUGGGGAUACCCGCUGAACUUAAGCAU
This 301-nucleotide unclassified non-coding RNA is filed under the name plant metagenome. RNAcentral describes it as "partial contains 5.8S ribosomal RNA, internal transcribed spacer 2, and large subunit ribosomal RNA". The stretch from base 1 to 104 matches the Rfam family "5.8S ribosomal RNA", at positions 50 to 154 of the family's 154-position model. The record is from RNAcentral.